GACGAACGCUGGCGGCGUGCUUAACACAUGCAAGUCGAACGGAAAGGCCCUGCUUUUGUGGGGGGCUCGAGUGGCGAACGGGUGAGGAACACUUGAGUAACCUGCCCUUGACUUUGGGAUAACUUCAUGAAACUGGGGCUAAUACCGGAUAGGAGCUCCUGCUGCAUGGUGGGGGUUGGAAAGUUUCGGCGGUUGGGGAUGGACUCGCGGCUUAUCAGCUUGUUGGUGGGGUAGUGGCUUACCAAGGCUUUGACGGGUAGCCGGCCUGAGAGGGUGACCGGCCACAUUGGGACUGAGAUACGGCACAGACUCCUACGGGAGGCAGCAGUGGGGAAUAUUGCACAAUGGGCGGAAGCCUGAUGCAGCAACGCCGCGUGCGGGAUGACGGCCUUCGGGUUGUAAACCGCUUUCGCCUGUGACGAAGCGUGAGUGACGGUAAUGGGUAAAGAAGCACCGGCUAACUACGUG
This 468-nucleotide ribosomal RNA is filed under the name uncultured bacterium. RNAcentral's name for it is "partial 16S ribosomal RNA". It matches the Rfam family "Bacterial small subunit ribosomal RNA", at positions 28 to 507 of the family's 1533-position model. The record is from RNAcentral.